GUGAUCAGCACUGAAGACAGAAGACUCACCAUGGAAUUUAGGCUGAGCUGGGUUUUCCUUGUUGCUGUUUUAAAAGGUGUCCAGUGUGAGGUGCAGUUGGUGGAGUCUGGGGGAGGCUUGGUACAGCCUGGGGGGUCCCUGAGACUCUCCUGUGCAGCCUCUGGAUUCACCUUCAGUAGCUACUACAUGUACUGGAUCCGUCAGGCUCCAGGGAAGGGGCUGGAGUGGGUCUCCGCUAUUAAUACUGGUGGGGGUAGCACAUGGUACACAGACUCCGUGAAGGGCAGAUUCACCAUCUCCAAAGAGAAUGCCAAGAACACACUGUAUCUUCAAAUGAACAGCCUGAGAACUGAGGACACGGCUGUCUAUUACUGUGCGAAAGACACACAGUGA
Non-coding RNA from Cercocebus atys (sooty mangabey), 393 nucleotides. NCBI's taxonomy places the organism in Eukaryota, Metazoa, Chordata, Mammalia, Primates, Cercopithecidae. The record is from the annotation of a RefSeq genome assembly.